RNAcentral lists this ribosomal RNA (578 nucleotides) under uncultured Ferribacterium sp. RNAcentral describes it as "bacterial SSU rRNA". It matches the Rfam family "Bacterial small subunit ribosomal RNA", at positions 335 to 917 of the family's 1533-position model. The record is from RNAcentral. Lineage: Bacteria; Pseudomonadati; Pseudomonadota; Betaproteobacteria; Rhodocyclales; Azonexaceae.
ACUCCUACGGGAGGAGCAGUGGGGAAUUUUGGACAAUGGGGGCAACCCUGAUCCAGCCAUGCCGCGUGAGUGAAGAAGGCCUUCGGGUUGUAAAGCUCUUUCCCGGGAAGAAAUCACAUGGGUUAAUACCCUGUGUGGAUGACGGUACCGGAAUAAGAAGCACCGGCUAACUACGUGCCACGCCGCGGUAAUACGUAGGUGCGAGCGUUAAUCAAUUACUGGGCGUAAACGUGCGCAGGCGGUUUGUUAAGAUAGGCGUGAAAUCCCCGGGCUCAACCUGGGAACUGCGUUUAUGACUGGCAGGCUAAGUAUGGCAGAGGGGGGUGGAAUUCCACGUGUAGCAUGAAAUGCGUAGAGAUGUGGAGGACACCGAUGGCGAAGGCAGCCCCCUGGGCCAAUACUGACGCUCAUGCACAAAGCGUGGGUAGCAAACAGGAUUAGAUACCCUGGUAGUCCACGCCCUAAACGAUGUCAACUAGGUGUUGGGUGGGUAAAACCAUUUAGUACCGGAGCUAACGCGUGAAGUUGACCGCCUGGGGAGUACGGCCGCAAGGUUAAAACUCAAAUGAAUUGACGGA